RNAcentral lists this ribosomal RNA (490 nucleotides) under uncultured bacterium. RNAcentral describes it as "partial 16S ribosomal RNA". It matches the Rfam family "Bacterial small subunit ribosomal RNA", at positions 29 to 505 of the family's 1533-position model. The record is from RNAcentral.
AGUGAACGCUGGCGGUAGGCCUAACACAUGCAAGUCGAACGGCAGCACAGUAAGAGCUUGCUCUUACGGGUGGCGAGUGGCGGACGGGUGAGGAAUACAUCGGAAUCUACUUUUUCGUGGGGGAUAACGUAGGGAAACUUACGCUGAUACCGCAUACGACCUACGGGUGAAAGCAGGGGAUCUUCGGACCUUGCGCGAUUGAAUGAGCCGAUGUCGGAUUAGCUAGUUGGCGGGGUAAAGGCCCACCAAGGCGACGAUCCGUAGCUGGUCUGAGAGGAUGAUCAGCCACACUGGAACUGAGACACGGUCCAGACUCCUACGGGAGGCAGCAGUGGGGAAUAUUGGACAAUGGGCGCAAGCCUGAUCCAGCCAUACCGCGUGGGUGAAGAAGGCCUUCGGGUUGUAAAGCCCUUUUGUUGGGAAAGAAAAGCAGCAGGUUAAUACCCCGCUGUUCUGACGGUACCCAAAGAAUAAGCACCGGCUAACUUCG